This 313-nucleotide long non-coding RNA is filed under the name Mytilus galloprovincialis (Mediterranean mussel). Lineage: Eukaryota; Metazoa; Mollusca; Bivalvia; Mytilida; Mytilidae. The record is from RNAcentral.
AAAACAACCAUUUUCUUUAUGGUAAAUUUAAAAUAAACAGCAUAUAACAAACAAAUAUAUUAUGCUCAUCAAAAAAUCUUAUUCACCUAACCAAGCUAGCUAAAUGAAUGGGAAUAAUACAUGUAUUUCAGCAUGUUAACUUACAUUUAAAGAGGUUCACUAGUAAAACAAUCUAAAAACAAAAUAAUAGGAACUCCUUCAAAAAUUUACAUGUUAGACUUCCGUAUUCAAUAAAGAGUCAUUUAGGAGCAUGAAAAGCCAUUUAAUACAGAUUUUAACUGUUUUUCAUUGAUAUUUCAAAGACAAUUGAAAC